CAGCCAAAAUUUUCAGGGAGCUGAACUUUACUCUGGUCUAUAGAGCUGUAGUCUUAAGAGAAUUUGCUAACAGAGAAAAUCUCUAUUUCUGUCUUAUAGAUUAGAGUAACUAAAAGCCCUAACUUUCUGGAGGGAAGAUACAAGUAUUUUUUUAGGAGUUCCCAGUACCAGAAACCACUUGCAAGAUCAUGUAGAGAGUCUGAGAUGAAGAGGAGAAAAAGAAAAAAAUUAUUUGAAGAAAUAAUGGCUGGAAACUUCAUAAAUUUGGCAAAAGACAAAAACCCGCUGAGUUAAUAAGCCCAGCAAACUCCGAACAGGAUAAAUCCAAAGAAAUGACUGCCCAGAGACAGCAUAAAGAGCUUGCAAACUAAAUGCAAAGAAAAAAAAUUGAAAGCAGCCAGAGGAAAAAAAUGAAUUACUUACAGGAAACAACAAUUAGUUGACUGUGCAUUGUUCACCAGAAAUCAUGAAGGCCAAGGGCUAAGA
RNAcentral lists this long non-coding RNA (486 nucleotides) under Heterocephalus glaber (naked mole-rat). Its description in RNAcentral is "lncRNA (ENSHGLG00000050770.1)". The record is from RNAcentral. Lineage: Eukaryota; Metazoa; Chordata; Mammalia; Rodentia; Bathyergidae.